This is a small nuclear RNA of Heterocephalus glaber (naked mole-rat), 142 nucleotides long. Its record names the gene U2. It matches the Rfam family "U2 spliceosomal RNA". From Rfam's summary of the family: U2 is a small nuclear RNA (snRNA) component of the spliceosome (involved in pre-mRNA splicing). Complementary binding between U2 snRNA (in an area lying towards the 5' end but 3' to hairpin I) and the branchpoint sequence (BPS) of the intron results the bulging out of an unpaired adenosine, on the BPS, which initiates a nucleophilic attack at the intronic 5' splice site, thus starting the first of two transesterification reactions that mediate splicing. The record is from Ensembl. NCBI's taxonomy places the organism in Eukaryota, Metazoa, Chordata, Mammalia, Rodentia, Bathyergidae.
AUCGCUUCUCGGCCUUUUGGCUAAGAUCAAGUGUAGAAAAUACUCAGAAAUAUUCACAGAAAUAUUGAAUGGAAAGUUCUUUGUACUCAUAUUUAUAAUAGUGACAAUCUGAAAGGAAUGCAAGUAUUGCUUUUUAAAUUUU